Molecule: ribosomal RNA, 253 nt
Filed under: uncultured bacterium
Lineage: Bacteria
Description: partial 16S ribosomal RNA
Rfam family: Bacterial small subunit ribosomal RNA
Source: RNAcentral
UACGUAGGGGGCAAGCGUUGUCCGGAUUUAUUGGGCGUAAAGAGCGUGUAGGCGGUUCGGUAGGUCCGUUGUGAAAACUCGAGGCUCAACCUCGAGACGCCGAUGGAAACCCUCGAACUAGAGUCCGGAAGAGGAGAAUGGAAUUCCUGGUGUAGCGGUGAAAUGCGCAGAUAUCAGGAAGAACACCCGUGGCUAAGGCGGCUCUCUAGUACGGUACUGACGCUGAGACGCGAAAGCGUGGGGAGCGAACAGG